This 76-nucleotide transfer RNA is filed under the name Azospirillum doebereinerae. RNAcentral's name for it is "tRNA-Arg". It matches the Rfam family "tRNA". Rfam says of the family: Transfer RNA (tRNA) molecules are approximately 80 nucleotides in length. Their secondary structure includes four short double-helical elements and three loops (D, anti-codon, and T loops). The record is from RNAcentral. Lineage: Bacteria; Pseudomonadati; Pseudomonadota; Alphaproteobacteria; Rhodospirillales; Azospirillaceae.
CGCCCGUAGCUCAGCUGGAUAGAGCAUCAGACUACGAAUCUGAGGGUCAGGAGUUCGAAUCUCUUCGGGCGCGCCA